ACCUGUAUUUUGCUAAGCAGACUUUUCAUAUCCCUUCUGUUUAUGGCUAGAUUAAUGUCUUUUAUUGUUACCUUCGAUCCACCAUAUUCAUUUCAAGUCCAAAUUUCUCAUGCCAAUAAAAGUUGACAAAUUCAAAUGAGUCGAGUAGACCGGUAAAUGCUAUGAUUAAAGUUAACCGAUUAAUAUAAAAAAAAAAACAGUACCCC
RNAcentral lists this long non-coding RNA (206 nucleotides) under Mytilus galloprovincialis (Mediterranean mussel). Lineage: Eukaryota; Metazoa; Mollusca; Bivalvia; Mytilida; Mytilidae. The record is from RNAcentral.